AAAGAAAUUAAAGUUAACAUUUCUUGUAUUAUGAUAGCCACAAAACGAGUAUAUUGAGUUACACCGGAAGCGCUAUGGAUACCGUUUGGAUUACCAUGAGAAAAAGAGAAAGAAGGAAGGUCGAGAAGCUCACGAACGUUCAAAGAAGGCGAAAAAGAUGAUUGGUCUGAAGGCUAAGCUCUACCAUAAACAGCGCCAUGCUGAGAAAAUACAGAUGAAAAAGACUAUCAAGAUGCAUGAAAAACGAAACACCAAA
Molecule: long non-coding RNA, 256 nt
Organism: Myotis davidii
Lineage: Eukaryota; Metazoa; Chordata; Mammalia; Chiroptera; Vespertilionidae
Exons: 2
Source: RefSeq, a predicted model, not a curated record